CCUACGGGUGGCAGCAGUGAGGAAUAUUGGUCAAUGGGCGAGAGCCUGAACCAGCCAAGUCGCGUGAAGGAUGACGGCCCUACGGGUUGUAAACUUCUUUUGUCAGGGAGCAAUUGAGUCCACGUGUGGUCUUAGCGAGAGUACCUGAAGAAAAAGCAUCGGCUAACUCCGUGCCAGCAGCCGCGGUAAUACGGAGGAUGCGAGCGUUAUCCGGAUUUAUUGGGUUUAAAGGGUGCGUAGGCGGAAUAUCAAGUCAGCGGUAAAAAUUCGGGGCUCAACCCCGUCGUGCCGUUGAAACUGUUUUUCUUGAGUACUGGAGAGGCAGACGGAAUUCCUAGUGUAGCGGUGAAAUGCGUAGAUAUUAGGAGGAACACCAGUGGCGAAGGCGGUCUGCUGGACAGCAACUGACGCUGAGGCGCGAAAGCGUGGGGAGCAAACAGGAUUAGAUACCCGGGUAGUC
Molecule: ribosomal RNA, 460 nt
Filed under: uncultured bacterium
Lineage: Bacteria
Description: partial 16S ribosomal RNA
Rfam family: Bacterial small subunit ribosomal RNA
Source: RNAcentral